AGUGCAUACAUAUAACUAUUAACUCCAGAAGGACUAUGUAUCUGCUAUCAUCAAAUUUACAAUAUUUCUCAAGAAUCACUAAGGAAUCAGACGAACAAUUAUCCCAACAUUACAACAAUUACAAGUUGGAGAAUACCAUCCUAUUUUUGCAGCCUAAUGUAUCUGUCUCUUGCACUUUACGUAUCGACGACAAGUUCAUGCUUCCCAGGUUUAGGUUGAAAUCUCUUGCUGUGAGGAUCUUCAUUGUCAAGAGGAGACUUCUGAUCAAAGGCUUCAGAAGUUAUCAUAACAGUUGGCUUUCCAAUUUUUUAUUUAAUGAAAAAUCAUUCUGUAAUUCAAGUUCACGUAUUUGUUGCAUUGACAUCCCAAACCAUUCAUCAAUCCAACCAAAACAAUUCCGAUGGCUCUCUAAGAAAAGUGCCCUUUCACCCGAUAGUAAAGCCCAUUCAAGUUGAUAACCAAAGCCCCAAUAUGGUGCAUCUACUGUUACCAACUUGUAUGCUGUCAUGACAGGUUUACAUAUAUCCUGCCAUCCAUCCAUAAGUGGACCACGGCCAGUUCUUGCAGAUUUGAAAUUAGAGAAGUCCACACUGUUCCUUCCAACGACAUAACUCCAAUAGUCAGUUUCUGCUGAGGCUAUAUCAAUAUAUUCAACCUGCCUGGCUGCUAGUUGUUCUUUGGUUAAACCAUGUACAUUUUCUGAUUGACCAUUGUCAGCCCUAUGAAUAGUUUCAACCGUUAAAGAAAACUUGGUGAAGUAUGGGUUCUUGAUUAUUGUUUUGCAUUUUGGGUAUGCAUUCCAAGCUUCUUCUUGC
Molecule: unclassified non-coding RNA, 815 nt
Filed under: Hevea brasiliensis (rubber tree)
Lineage: Eukaryota; Viridiplantae; Streptophyta; Magnoliopsida; Malpighiales; Euphorbiaceae
Source: RNAcentral